Molecule: long non-coding RNA, 285 nt
Organism: Pygocentrus nattereri (red-bellied piranha)
Lineage: Eukaryota; Metazoa; Chordata; Actinopteri; Characiformes; Serrasalmidae
Exons: 2
Source: RefSeq, a predicted model, not a curated record
CCAUGAUGUUUCUGUGCUCUCUGACUGUCUUUAUGAUUAUGCUAAGGAACUCUUCUGCACAGUCAAUAGAACCACUGGGGAACAAAACAAAGGUUCAUGCUCGUGAAGAUGAGACAGUUACUCUCUCCUGCGAGUAUGUAGAUAGUGGUACUGUGCAGAGUCUUCAGUGGUAUCGUCAGUAUCCUGGAUCCAGACCAGAGUAUUUACUGCUGAAAUAUCCAGGAUCAGCUGAUGUGACCCGUGCAGAUCCUACUUUCUUACGACUGGAUGCUACAGAUGACAAUA